RNAcentral lists this ribosomal RNA (397 nucleotides) under uncultured bacterium. RNAcentral describes it as "bacterial SSU rRNA". It matches the Rfam family "Bacterial small subunit ribosomal RNA", at positions 28 to 424 of the family's 1533-position model. The record is from RNAcentral.
GACGAACGCUGGCGGCGUGCUUAACACAUGCAAGUCGAGCGGUAAGGCCCUUUCGGGGGUACGACGAGCGGCGAACGGGUGAGUAACACGUGGGUGGCCUGCCCUCAGCUCUGGGAUAAGCCUGGGAAACGUAGGGUCGUAAUACCGGAUAUGACUCCAUGACGCAUGUUGUGGGGUGGAAAGCCUUGUGCGGCUGAGGAUGGGCCCGCGGCCUAUCAGCUUGUUGGUGGGGGUGAGGCCUACCAAGGCGACGACGGGUAGCCGGCCUGAGAGGGCGACCGGCCACACUGGGACUGAGACACGGCCCAGACUCCUACGGGAGGCAGCAGUGGGGAAUCUUGCGCAAUGGGCGAAAGCCUGACGCAGCGACGCCGCGUGAGGGAUGACGGCCUCGGUU